Molecule: ribosomal RNA, 465 nt
Filed under: uncultured bacterium
Lineage: Bacteria
Description: bacterial SSU rRNA
Rfam family: Bacterial small subunit ribosomal RNA
Source: RNAcentral
CCUACGGGAGGCAGCAGUGGGGAAUAUUGCACAAUGGGCGCAAGCCUGAUGCAGCCAUGCCGCGUGUGUGAAGAAGGCCUUCGGGUUGUAAAGCACUUUCAGUAGGGAGGAAGGUAGUGUAGUUAACACCUGCAUUAUUUGACGUUACCUACAGAAGAAGCACCGGCUAACUCCGUGCCAGCAGCCGCGGUAAUACGGAGGGUGCGAGCGUUAAUCGGAAUUACUGGGCGUAAAGCGCAUGCAGGCGUCCUGUUAAGACAGAUGUGAAAGCCCGGGGCUUAACCUCGGAAUUGCAUUUGAAACUGGCAGGCUAGAGUCUUGUAGAGGGGGGUAGAAUUUCAUGUGUAGCGGUGAAAUGCGUAGAGAUCUGAAGGAAUACCAGUGGCGAAGGCGGCCCCCUGGACAAAGACUGACGCUCAGAUGCGAAAGCGUGGGGAGCAAACAGGAUUAGAUACCCGAGUAGUC